CUGGCGACUUCCCGAGAAGUCCACUGAACCUUAUCAUUUAGAGGAAGGAGAAGUCGUAACAAGGUUUCCGUAGGGUGAACCUGCGGAAGGAUCAUUGUCGAU
RNAcentral lists this ribosomal RNA (102 nucleotides) under Macrolobium rubrum. RNAcentral describes it as "partial 18S ribosomal RNA". It matches the Rfam family "Eukaryotic small subunit ribosomal RNA", at positions 1736 to 1831 of the family's 1831-position model. Lineage: Eukaryota; Viridiplantae; Streptophyta; Magnoliopsida; Fabales; Fabaceae. The record is from RNAcentral.